UUUUAUCCACACCCACAAAACCUUCCCUCCUCAUUUCCCUCACUAAACAUGGCAACACUUCAUUUUACAACUUCUCCUUCUUUCACCCUCAUCUCACCAAAAAACCAAGCCAAUGUUGCUGCUGGUAUUCAUCUAAACAGUCCCUGGAAAACCAAAAAUCGUCGAAUAUCAACCGUUGUCCGGGCUUAUAAAGUAUUAGUAGAACAUGAAGGUAAAACUACAGAGCUAGAUGUUGAACCUGAUGAGACAAUCUUGUCUAAGGCUCUCGACGUCGGCAUGUCUGUACCAUAUGACUGCAAGCUAGGAGUUUGCAUGACUUGUCCAGCUAAGCUACUCAGUGGGAAAGUGGAUCAAAGUGAAGGUAUGCUCAGUGAUGAUGUUGUGGAG
Molecule: long non-coding RNA, 387 nt
Filed under: Nicotiana tabacum (common tobacco)
Lineage: Eukaryota; Viridiplantae; Streptophyta; Magnoliopsida; Solanales; Solanaceae
Description: long non-coding RNA (NTAB_LNC018108)
Source: RNAcentral